CAACAUUGAAUUGAAACAAAAACAAAAGAUACACAAAAGAAAAGAAAGUCAAAACGUAAAAAAGAACAUAAAUAUAUUCAAAUUCAAGGUAUUUCAAAGCAAUAAUCAAAAAGAAAGAAAGAAUGUUUAGACAAUCAAAUAUCUCCAAAAGUUGCUAAAACAAAUUCAUAGAGGGGCUUAUAACAGUCCCUGUUUUUGAGAAGUUGCUGAAGGGAGAGCGGGAUUUCUUCAGCUGUACGAUAUAUGUUCAGGAGGCGGUCUAUGAGAAGCAAUCUGGGAAGAGUGAAACUACUGCAAUCAAAGAAAAGAUGUUGCAAAGUCUGAUCAGCAGAGUUACAGAAAUUACAAGCAGAAGCUGCCCAAGGGAACCAAAAUAUGAACUACUAAUUCUUGAGGAAGAAGACUGCAACUUCAGAAGCAAAGGAUGAUUUUUAAUAGAAGAAAUUUUCAAUAGAAACUUAAAGAUGAGAUAUUUGAACCUGCUUAACAAAGGAGACAACUGCAAUGAAGACAGAACAGUUGUUAAAAUAUCCAAAUUAACAUUAUUAAAAGCGCCAACAACAUCGAAGAAAAUACAACCCAAAAUCUGAUCACGAGACAGAGCAUCACGGACAUCCAGACAAAAGUGACUCAGGCUUUCCCGCGCCGACCGUCCUCGACGAAAGCCAAAUUGAUUAGCUGGUUGGCGUGAGGCGGGAUGUUCGCCGAAGAGUCUGUAGCAACUGAAGGAGAAGAUGUAAAAUAAUACUUCGUCAAAGUGGGUAGAUGAUAGCUACCACCUAAGGGAUCUGACAUGACCUGCCAUUCACAUGACAAGGCCAGUGAUGAGGAAACCAAUGUUAAAUCAAGGCCAUUUGGCCGCCAACUAAGGGUACCUGUUGUCGUUGCACGUCCGUCAUUCAAGAGAACCAAUUCAUUCUCAUCCAUGGAGUCCAAGACGCUUCUGCCUCGUGUAUCAAUACUACCACACCCCCAAAUGGUGUGAUGUGCAUUGAAAUCGCCUGCAAUAAUCAACGGUUUUGGAAUACUCCGAAUCAAAUUGUCAAAUCUACCUUUAUUAAAGGUAGGAUUACAAUUACCUGGACUGUAAAAACUAGCGAUAGAUAUGUAUUUUUGAUCAAUUUGAACCUGAACUACAACGUUUUGUAGUGAGUCAUCAAAUAAAGUGUCUAAUUUACGAAA
Molecule: long non-coding RNA, 1182 nt
Organism: Pectinophora gossypiella (pink bollworm)
Lineage: Eukaryota; Metazoa; Arthropoda; Insecta; Lepidoptera; Gelechiidae
Exons: 4
Source: RefSeq, a predicted model, not a curated record